UGGGGAAUAUUGGGCAAUGGAGGCAACUCUGACCCAGCAAUGCCGCGUGAGUGAUGAAGGUAAUUUUAUUGUAAAGCUCUUUCUUGGGAACGAACAAAUGACGGUACCCAAGGAAUAAGCCCCGGCUAACUACGUGCCAGCAGCCGCGGUAAUACGUAGGGGGCGAGCGUUGUCCGGAAUGACUGGGCGUAAAGGGUGUGUAGGUGGUUUGACAAGUUAGAUGUGUAAUACCCAGGGCUUAACUCGGGUGCUGCAUCUAAAACUGUUAGACUUGAGUACUGGAGAGGAUAGUGGAAUUCCUAGUGUAGCGGUGGAAUGCGUAGAUAUUAGGAGGAACAUCAGUGGCGAAGGCGACUAUCUGGACAGCAACUGACACUGAGGCACGAAAGCGUGGGGAGCAAACAGGAUUAGAUACC
This 416-nucleotide ribosomal RNA is filed under the name uncultured bacterium. RNAcentral describes it as "bacterial SSU rRNA". It matches the Rfam family "Bacterial small subunit ribosomal RNA", at positions 355 to 786 of the family's 1533-position model. The record is from RNAcentral.